UACGGAGGGUGCAAGCGUUGUUCGGAAUCACUGGGCGUAAAGCGCACGUAGGCGGCCGAUCGUGUCGAGUGUGAAAGCCCUCGGCUCAACCGAGGAAGUGCACUCGAAACUGGUCGGCUUGAGUCCGGUAGAGGAGGGUGGAAUUCCGGGUGUAGAGGUGAAAUUCGUAGAUAUCCGGAGGAACACCGGUGGCGAAAGCGGCCCUCUGGGCCGGUACUGACGCUGAGGUGCGAAAGCGUGGGGAGCAAACAGG
RNAcentral lists this ribosomal RNA (253 nucleotides) under uncultured bacterium. RNAcentral describes it as "partial 16S ribosomal RNA". It matches the Rfam family "Bacterial small subunit ribosomal RNA", at positions 524 to 776 of the family's 1533-position model. The record is from RNAcentral.